This 470-nucleotide ribosomal RNA is filed under the name Phlyctema vagabunda. RNAcentral describes it as "eukaryotic LSU rRNA". The stretch from base 117 to 270 matches the Rfam family "5.8S ribosomal RNA". Lineage: Eukaryota; Fungi; Ascomycota; Leotiomycetes; Helotiales; Dermateaceae. The record is from RNAcentral.
CACACCUUUGUUGCUUUGGCGGGCCCGCCUCGGCCACCGGCUCCGGCUGGUGAGCGCCCGCCAGAGGACCCCAAACUCUGAAAUUUAGUGUCGUCUGAGUACUAUAUAAUAGUUAAAACUUUCAACAACGGAUCUCUUGGUUCUGGCAUCGAUGAAGAACGCAGCGAAAUGCGAUAAGUAAUGUGAAUUGCAGAAUUCAGUGAAUCAUCGAAUCUUUGAACGCACAUUGCGCCCCUUGGUAUUCCGGGGGGCAUGCCUGUUCGAGCGUCAUUACAACCCUCAAGCUCUGCUUGGUAUUGGGCGUCCCCGGCGACGGGGUGCCCUAAAAUCAGUGGCGGUGCCGUCUGGCUCUAAGCGUAGUAAAUCUCUCGCUCUGGAUGCCCGGUGGAUGCUCGCCAGAACCCCCCAUUUUUACAGGUUGACCUCGGAUCAGGUAGGGAUACCCGCUGAACUUAAGCAUAUAUGGACCG